RNAcentral lists this long non-coding RNA (260 nucleotides) under Elaeis guineensis (African oil palm). Its description in RNAcentral is "long non-coding RNA (EGUI_LNC063334)". The record is from RNAcentral. Lineage: Eukaryota; Viridiplantae; Streptophyta; Magnoliopsida; Arecales; Arecaceae.
GUUGAUUUGAUUCUCUAAUCCCUGACUAGUUUGUUUGGCCAGUUUAUCGUAAAUUAUCAUAUGAAUAAAUUAGACUGUAAUUUAUCCGAAUUCAAGGAGCUCUAUUCUUGCUGUUGAGUGGGUAUUUUCUAAGAGAAAGUCUUAAGGAAAGAAAAAGAAUUAGCCUACGAAUAAGCAGAAGAAGGAGAGCAAACCUAAGGAGGACACUUCGAAGAAAGCUGUGGAGAAGGAAAAGUAUUUCCACUAUAACUUGAAUGGCC